GAUGAACGCUGGCGGCGUGCCUAAUACAUGCAAGUCGAGCGAACAGAUGAGGAGCUUGCUCCUCUGACGUUAGCGGCGGACGGGUGAGUAACACGUGGAUAACCUACCUAUAAGACUGGGAUAACUUCGGGAAACCGGAGCUAAUACCGGAUAAUAUAUUGAACCGCAUGGUUCAAUAGUGAAAGACGGUUUUGCUUUCACUUAUAGAUGAAUCCGCGCCGCAUUAGCUAGUUGGUAAGGUAACGGCUUACCAAGGCAACGAUGCGUAGCCGACCUGAGAGGGUGAUCGGCCACACUGGAACUGAGACACGGUCCAGACUCCUACGGGAGGCAGCAGUAGGGAAUCUUCCGCAAUGGGCGAAAGCCUGACGGAGCAACGCCGCGUGAGUGAUGAAGGUCUUCGGAUCGUAAAACUCUGUUAUUAGGGAAGAACAAAUGUGUAAGUAACUAUGCACGUCUUGACGGUACCUAAUCAGAAAGCCACGGCUAACUACGUG
RNAcentral lists this ribosomal RNA (497 nucleotides) under uncultured bacterium. RNAcentral describes it as "partial 16S ribosomal RNA". It matches the Rfam family "Bacterial small subunit ribosomal RNA", at positions 28 to 507 of the family's 1533-position model. The record is from RNAcentral.